RNAcentral lists this ribosomal RNA (229 nucleotides) under uncultured bacterium. RNAcentral's name for it is "partial 16S ribosomal RNA". It matches the Rfam family "Bacterial small subunit ribosomal RNA", at positions 104 to 334 of the family's 1533-position model. The record is from RNAcentral.
CGGGGUGAGUAAUGUCUGGGAAACUGCCUGAUGGAGGGGGGUAACUACUGGAAACGGUAGCUAAUACCGCAUAAUGUCGCAAGACCAAAGUGGGGGACCUUCGGGCCUCUUGCCAUCGGAUGUGCCCAGAUGGGAUUAGCUAGUAGGUGGGGUAACGGCUCACCUAGGCGACGAUCCCUAGCUGGUCUGAGAGGAUGGCCAGCCACACUGGAACUGAGACACGGUCCAG